CACCAUUGGAUAACUAAGCAGGGACAAAAUGCGGAAUGCUUUCGCCACCAGCCUGAGUUUGGAAACUCUCUUGAUAGUGGAGAGAAAAUAGCUAAAGGACGUCAGCAAUGGGAGCCAUGACCUGGAAGCUGCUGGUGCCUGCCCCUGUCAAGGUUAUUCUGGUUUAAGCUCUCUCUCCCUGUUGGCAUGCGAUUUCAUGCUUUUCAGCUCUCCCUUUAAAUGGAAAUGAAUAAAACGAUCUUCGUCCUCCA
This is a long non-coding RNA of Peromyscus eremicus (cactus mouse), 251 nucleotides long. RefSeq lists it as uncharacterized. The record is from RefSeq and is a predicted model, not a curated record. The transcript is spliced from 2 exons. Lineage: Eukaryota; Metazoa; Chordata; Mammalia; Rodentia; Cricetidae.